This is a long non-coding RNA of Dermacentor andersoni, 3487 nucleotides long. RefSeq lists it as uncharacterized. NCBI's taxonomy places the organism in Eukaryota, Metazoa, Arthropoda, Arachnida, Ixodida, Ixodidae. The record is from RefSeq and is a predicted model, not a curated record.
GCACUACAGUGUAGGGUGCUGCCCCAACGCCCAAAUUUAAUACCCAAAUUGGCAGUCCACCCGCACCGCCGCGCCGUAUUCCUGUCAAAACUUGCUACACGAAAGAACGUGUAUCGACGUGAAAUUGUGGGCUCGAAUUCUUCGCAUUGGCCGACAGCCAACGCAGGCAGCGUCAGUGCCUGCAUGCGUCACGCAAAAAGCCCAAAAAUGUGUUUGCGUAGCACGUGCUUCCUGCCGACACACACGAGAUAAACGGAACAUGCGGCGGACCGCUGUCGCGUCAGGCCGCCUUUGAUAGGGCUAUUCCUAUGUGUGCGUUCCUCUAAUAGUACCGUUUGCUGCGAACUUACACGUGCAAAGUUCGGACCCGUUGAUUAACAAACAAGCAAAAAAAAAAGCGGAGGAGCGGGAGAUGCAAGGGGCAAAGGUAUACUGUAAACUGCCGCUGUCCUUAGCUGCUGAGCUGCACAAGAAAGAGUAAAAUCGCAAGUAGGCCAAAAUUAGGUCAGUAGCAUUUCCUCCGUGAGCUGUGCGGUUAGUAAAAGAAGAAAACGAGGAGACAGAGAAAGACGAAGUGCGGUAAUGCGUCGCACUGUGAUUGGGGCCGCACGUUUCGCGACACGUGAUCGCAGGGCAUGACGGAACGCUUGGUGACUGGACACGUGGCUGACGAGGCCGCGCAGAUAGAGACGGUGCCCAGCUGCGUGCAAUUUCGAACGCGACUGCGGCAGGCUCGCGGCAACGGAACCGCUCUUCCGAGCAAGGUCUGUGGCUUCCCGGUGCCCCUCAUCUACCCGAAACAGACGACCAGGCCCGCCGUCCAGGACCCGUCGAUUGCGAGCGAGGUCCUUGGUUGCCUGGCAUUCCCUGGCCUACCAGGAACAAGGAUCCCAAGGCGACUUCCCGAGACGCGCUGCGUUCUAGCGACAUUCGGCAACGCCAGGGACGAGAUUGUGCGGCUCCAUGGGACAGCCGAUGGAGAGGCUCAGACCCGACACCCGGGGAACACACAACCCGACACGCCACCCGCUUCCUGAGCCACGCAUGCGGGCCGCUGCUAUAGCAGGCAAUUCCACGUGAGCCUUACGGUGCUACCUCAGUAGGAGGCUACAAUUGCCGUGAGAGCAUCGGAAAUUUUGCAGCGAAGUUGGGCAUGACGGAACGCUUGGUGACUGGACACGUGGCUGACGUGGCCGCGCAGAGAGAUAGACGGCGCCCAGCUGAGUACAAUUUCGAACGCGACUGCGGCCUGCUCACGACAACGGAACCGUUCUUCCGAGCAAGGCAUGUGGCUUCCCGGUGCCCUUCAUCUACCCGGAGCAGACGACCAGGGCCGCCGUCCGGGACCCGUCGGAUUGUGAGCGAGGUCCUUGGUUCCCUGGCAUUCCCCGGCCUACCAGAAACAAGGGUUUCGAGGGGACUUCCCGAGACGCGCUGCGUUCUAGCCACGUCCGGCAACGCCAGGGUCAAGUUUGUGCGGCUCCAUGGGACAGCCUAUGGAGAGGUUCAGACCCGACGCGCCACCCGCCUCCUGAGCCACGCAUGCGGGCCGCUGUUAUAGCAGGCAAUUCCACGUGAGCCCUACGGUGCUACCUCAGUAGGACACUACAGUUGCCGUGAGAGCAUCGGAAAUUUUGCAGUGAAGUUGGCACAUGAAGAACUGAAGCACGCCCAUCGAGCACCGAUGUAUUUGCAAGGACAACGUUUGAAACCACCUGCGAUGACACCUCCUUCCUCGGAUGAGAUGCUGUACUAAGGUUGAAGCUUGAAGAUCUUGGAAACUUGAAUGGGAGAUGAUGUAAUUACUCAUGCAAGGGCAACAACUCAGGCCGAAACAAGAAGCCCGUUUUCACGGGUGAAUUCGGGGCAAGCCCUGGCUUCACCUUUACUGAGGCCCCACCAGACUACAUUCCUUCCUGCUCCAGACCACCCGCAUCCCACUUAGGCACUCCAGCGUCCGCUACGUUGAAGCCGAAUAUCUUGGUCUUGAGGCACAUUUUGCUUGAGCGAUUCGGCGGCCAUGCGAACACUUCCACCAGGGAAGAAACCGCAAUUAUGAAGACUUCUUUCACGGUCAGCGUGAGUCGGUACUACCAUUCCCAAGUCUAACACCACGAGAACAACCAAGAAAGAUGAACCUUUCUUUCAGACAAAAGAGAACUCCGAAUAAGCAGAUCCUCCCAGAGUGUUCACGGUGUAUGUCAUCGACAGUUUCCCGGCGGGGCGAAAUGCUCUUCUCGGCAGUCUUCCAGUGUCCAGGAUGGUGCAUAAUGUGACAUGUUGUCCACGAAUAUCUACAAUGUGCACCCGGGAAUUGUGCAGAAGAUCAUUGAAUCUAGCUUUUUUUUUUCUUUGUAAAGCAACACAGAAUGAAAGCGUCAGUAUUCCUGUAUGCGAUGGUAACAUGCGGCCUGCUGUGCCGAGAAGUAUUAAGGCGUGCGAGCGCAGGCGCUAACAGUCUUGUUCAUGCUAUUUACACUACUAAGCCAACGAGCGAAAGAGCAAAGCCGCCUUCUGGCUUACCCUUGUCUGGAUAUGGACCAACGUCCCAAACCAAAACUACCCCCCGGAGAAGCAUGGCUCGGGUUUGGGGGCUGCUUGUUGGAGGCGAAAUGAAUGAUGACGACGGAAGCAAUGGUUGCGCGUUCUACUUUGUAGAACCCAACUCUUCCUGAUCUGACAAGGCAGCCCACAUAAUAAAGUGCUUAAUGACUCCUGAUGCGUUAUGCAAAAAAUGCCUCUAAUACAAGAAACCACAAAUAAAACGUUAAUGAACCUGGCACGUGCGCAAUAAAUGUCAUUUUAACGUGGUCUGCGUCUCACGUUGUGCAAAUAAUUAUUGUCUGUUUGACAGUCUUUUCAAAUGUUUCCUCUAUCGCUAAAGCUUCAUAUUUCGAAUAUUUUCGCAGAUUCAUCUCCCGGCCUUCGGUUUAUUGUUCAUUGCCGAAGUUGCCGGAGUGUUCAUUUCUUAACCUCAGUCAAAAAGUGUCGAAGCAUGCACUGGACAAAAAGUGGCAUCGUCUUACUUGUACUGCCUUCAAUUCAGGCCUUUCCUUUUAGAAGCAUUCCUACAUAUGUAUAUGGGCUAUUAAAUAGUUGUACCGCAUAAACAGUGCGACCAUAUUUUGAAGGAAAGGUGCAAUGGAAAACAUCCAAUUUCCUGAAACGUCACUAUCUUAGCAAAGGUACUGGUUUGGGAUAGUUGGUUACAAUUAAAGAUCAAUGGUAUUUGUGCGCCACUUGAAACGAGGACUAGGGAGGGACAGACACAAGCGUAAUGUCUCUGUUGUUCCCCAUGCAGUCCUCGUUUCAAGUGGUGCGCAAAUAUUAAUGUCUUGACAAAUAGCACUACACCGGCUAAAGUACGCGCUAACUCGGGUCUGAGAGAUUGGUAUGUUUUUGAGUCUUGUUGCUUUAACUUUACGAAGGUUCACAUUCGAGCUAUAUAGGCUCAUGCUUAGAUAAUAAACUUCAUUUCAACACCGGU